GAGUUUGAUCAUGGCUCAGGAUGAACGCUAGCGGCAGGCUUAAUACAUGCAAGUCGAGGGGCAGCAUGGUGUAGCAAUACACUGAUGGCGACCGGCAAACGGGUGCGGAACACGUACAGAACCUUCCUUCGAGCGGGGAAUAGCCCAGAGAAAUUUGGAUUAAUACCGCAUAAAACAGGGGCACCGCAUGGUGAUAUUUGUUAAAGAUUUAUUGGUGAUAGAUGGGCAUGCGUUCGAUUAGCUAGUUGGCGGGGUAACGGCCCACCAAGGCGACGAUCGAUAGGGGAGCUGAGAGGUUGAUCCCCCACACGGGCACUGAGAUACGGGCCCGACUCCUACGGGAGGCAGCAGUAAGGAAUAUUGGUCAAUGGACGAAAGUCUGAACCAGCCAUGCCGCGUGGAGGAUGAAGGUCCUCUGGAUUGUAAACUUCUUUUAUCUGGGACGAAAAAAGGUCUUUCUAGAUCGUCUGACGGUACCAGAUGAAUAAGCACCGGCUAACUCCGUGCCAGCAGCCGCGGUA
This 521-nucleotide ribosomal RNA is filed under the name uncultured Sphingobacteriales bacterium. RNAcentral's name for it is "bacterial SSU rRNA". It matches the Rfam family "Bacterial small subunit ribosomal RNA", at positions 9 to 522 of the family's 1533-position model. Lineage: Bacteria; Pseudomonadati; Bacteroidota; Sphingobacteriia; Sphingobacteriales. The record is from RNAcentral.